Lytechinus pictus (painted urchin) is the source of this 2345-nucleotide long non-coding RNA. RefSeq lists it as uncharacterized. The transcript has 2 exons. The record is from RefSeq and is a predicted model, not a curated record. Lineage: Eukaryota; Metazoa; Echinodermata; Echinoidea; Temnopleuroida; Toxopneustidae.
AUCAUGAGUAGCAGUAGCAGUGUCAUUAUAAUCACUGUUCUUAUUUUCAUAAGUGUUUUUUCAUUUACUUAAAAGUAGUUUAUUUCUUUGAACACUAUGAGGAAGGUGUGGUUUUUCUCCGAAGAAUAAAACUCUUUGAAAUGUACAGGAAACUCCAAUUUCCCCCUGAAGUGACCAAAAACAGUUUUCCUUCCUAUUUGCACUUCACUGUACACUUGUUUCAUUUUUAGAUUGAUGUAGUGUGGCAAUCAUAAUUUCUAUAUCAUGUGAGUAAAAAAAAAUGACACCUCACACAUCCCCAAUCAAGAAAAAAUCUGUCAUGAACACACAAUCAUAUAUGGCUGGAAAGAGCAUCUUUUCCCAAACAAGGUAUCCUUUGCAGUGAUGUACAUUUUGACUUGUGCCAAAGUAAGGCAUGACUGCAAUGAAUUAUCCAGAUGUCAAUGAUGUCGAAAUCCUACAGAAGUAAACAUAUUUGCUAAUCCAUGUUCAAUGAAAUUAACUUGAGAAUUUAUACUAAAAUGCCUUUAUUAAACAAUUAUAAUGUAAAUUACUGCAAAGGUGUUUUGAAAUGGAUGUUAUUGAAACUCUUGUAGGAUUAUGACAUUGACAUCUGGAUUCAUUAAUUGCAGUUAUGCCUUACUUUGGCGCAAAUCAAAAUUUACACCAUUGCAAAGAAUACCUCCUGAUCAUCCAAGCGUUAACACAUACCACGUAAAUAUGGUAUCAAAUUAUUUAAGAUGACAUACUCGUUCAGAUGAUAUAUGAUAAUUAUCCCAUUUGGCUUAAUAAUUGCUUGGUCACACAUUACUCUUUGAUACAUUGGGAUCAAUCAGUCCGAUUGUGAUUGUUGACCAUUAUAUUUUGAUUAUUCAAAACUUUCCUCAGAACAUACUAAAUGUAUUUGAUUUUCUUUAGUAAUCUAUCUAUUUUGUCUUUGACACAAAUAUUAUCUUACUCAUGUAUUGUGCAUGUUGUAUUUUUGUUUGUAACACUUCAACGUUUUUUUUGUUUGAUUUAAAUUGAAUAUAGUCAUAAAGAUAAAGUAUGUGAUGAUGAUGAUGAUAUACAUGUAUACAUAUAUAUAUAUAUGGACUUCUUCUUCUUCAAGCACUGGUGUACAUUUUAUAAUCGAGGGCUCUCAAAAAGCAGCUGCAUCACCUUGGUUUCCAUUCCAGGGGGCAGUUUCAUAAAGCCGUUCAUGAGUUAAGAGUGACUUUAAGAACGACUGGUGAUCCUUGUGGUAAAUUAUAUUCACCAUUAAAUGUUCAUUGGUGAAUAUUUAGCAUGUAAGGAAGGAUCACCAGUUCUUAAAGUCGCUUUUACCUUCCGAACAGCUUGAUGAAACACCCAUUAGAAACCCGCAUUAAAGAAAGCCCAACAAUGAUCCUACGAUGGAAUUUUAUGAUAAAUUGUACAGCGUGAUCAUUGCAGCUACAAAAAUGUGUCUUAUGGUCAAUUUUAACUACUGCCACAACUGUAGGCAUAUCAGUGAAAGGUAUGAUACUGUAAUUACCAUGGUUUUAUUAUGUUCCUGCUUUCUAUGUUAUUCAAUCCUACAAUGCAGUGAUACAAGUCACAAAGUGAAAAUACUGGUAACGAAUUCACCUGUGUUGUAUAGCCAGGGACUGAGUGAUAUUGAUUUUGGCAAUUUUUUUAAAAAACUCAUUGAAAAUCUGUGAAGUAGUCGAAGAAAAACGUAGUAUGUGUACAUACAUGUGAUAUGAAUUUACAAUGUAUGACCAUUCAGACACAAUUGCCUGUUGUGCAAUAAGCAUUCAGACAUAAUAAAUGUCUUGUAUUGAAAUGAAAUAUCAGUAUCAGAGCAUUUGGACAAAAAUAUCAAUGCAUGUAUGUCUUGUAUCCUCAUGCUGUACAUGUGUGAUACACAAGCUUUUGAAUGAUGACAAAGCCGCCUUUUCUAAGAAAAGAAAAUAUGAAUGAUUGCAUGUGCUAAUGACAUUAUGGAAUCGAAGUAAUACUUGGAUUUGAAAUAAAUCCAGAUCAGCUGAGUAAGAUUUAGAUUGAAAUCUUUAAGACUUAGAAAUAAGUGUAAAGGAUUUAAAUCCAGGGGGGCAGUGGUCAUUCUUGACAGCUGUUCUACAUUCAUUGACAGUAAAUGAAAUUGAUGUAUUUUUAAAUUUCCCAUAUACAUAUAUAGGAGUGUGAAGAUGAAUGUACACUAAAUUUUGAAGAAAACCAAGAAAGGGAAGAAGAAAUGUAGAUUAGCUGUUUGAAUGCAUACAACUCUGUAUUUUAUGUGAAUGUAGAAUCUUUAUUACGCCAAAUCAAUUUAUAUGAAGCAUGAUUACAAAUAUGGAAUUAAAUAGUCUUAUAGCAAUUUA